GUGUCAGCCGCCGCGGUAAUACGAAGGGGGCUAGCGUUGUUCGGAAUCACUGGGCGUAAAGCGCACGUAGGCGGAUCUUUAAGUCAGGGGUGAAAUCCCGAGGCUCAACCUCGGAACUGCCUUUGAUACUGGAGGUCUCGAGUCCGGGAGAGGUGAGUGGAACUGCGAGUGUAGAGGUGAAAUUCGUAGAUAUUCGCAAGAACACCAGUGGCGAAGGCGGCUCACUGGCCCGGUACUGACGCUGAGGUGCGAAAGCGUGGGGAGCAAACAGGAUUAGAUACCCCCGUAGUCC
Molecule: ribosomal RNA, 292 nt
Filed under: uncultured bacterium
Lineage: Bacteria
Description: partial 16S ribosomal RNA
Rfam family: Bacterial small subunit ribosomal RNA
Source: RNAcentral